UUUUAAGUUUUUUCUAGGUCACCCAUAUUUUCCUGGGCCAUUAGCUCAGGUGGUUAGAGCGCACCCCUGAUAAGGGUGAGGUCCCUGGUUCAAGUCCAGGAUGGCCCAUAUCUCUAUAUUGGGGGUAUAGCUCAGUUGGUAGAGCGCCUGCUUUGCAAGCAGGAUGUCAGCGGUUCGAGUCCGCUUACCUCCACUGAUUACCACCCUUCCAAUGAGAAGGAAUUUUUGGGAUCGACCUUCUGGGAAUGAAUCUAGCUUCCUAUUAAUUUAAUAACUUAUUUAUUAUUUAAUAAGACGCUGGACUCAAUGAAUUUUUAAAUUCUUUGUUUUCAGAGAACCUUGACAACUGCAUAGAUUUUUUUCAAGACAAUAAGCAUCUUUUAAUGAUGCAGAUUUAUUAUUUGUGCUAAAUGCAUUAAAUAACAAUUCUAUUGAGCUGAUGCUUCAAUUUUUUUGAAGUUAUU
This 464-nucleotide transfer RNA is filed under the name uncultured Prochlorococcus sp. RNAcentral describes it as "partial 16S-23S ribosomal RNA intergenic spacer". The stretch from base 121 to 193 matches the Rfam family "tRNA". The record is from RNAcentral. Lineage: Bacteria; Bacillati; Cyanobacteriota; Cyanophyceae; Synechococcales; Prochlorococcaceae.